Molecule: ribosomal RNA, 512 nt
Filed under: uncultured bacterium
Lineage: Bacteria
Description: bacterial SSU rRNA
Rfam family: Bacterial small subunit ribosomal RNA
Source: RNAcentral
GACGAACGCUGGCGGCGUGCUUAACACAUGCAAGUGGAGCGACGAACCAGGGCUUGCCCUGGGGCAAAGCCGCGAACGGGUGAGUAUCACGUGGGUAACGUGCCCCGAUGACCGGGACAACCCGAGGAAACUCGGGCUAAUACCGGAUGUGCUGUGUCGCCGUAAGGUGACUCAGUAAAGGAAGCUUCGGCCUCCGCAUUGGGAGCGGCCCGCGGCCCAUUAGCUUGUUGGUGAGGUAACGGCUCACCAAGGCAACGAUGGGUAGCUGGUCUGAGAGGACGAUCAGCCACACUGGGACUGAGACACGGCCCAGACUCCUACGGGAGGCAGCAGUGGGGAAUCUUGCGCAAUGCGCGAAAGCGUGACGCAGCAACGCCGCGUGAGGGAAGAAGGCCUUCGGGUUGUAAACCUCUUUCAGGAGGGACGAAGGUUCAGGCGCGAAUAGCGUCCUGGACUGACGGUACCUCCAGAAGAAGCUCCGGCUAACUACGUGCCAGCAGCCGCAGUAACAC